UUGAACGCUGGCGGCAGGCCUAACACAUGCAAGUCGAGCGGUAGAGAGGUGCUUGCAUCUCUUGAGAGCGGCGGACGGGUGAGUAAUGCCUAGGAAUCUGCCUAGUGGUGGGGGAUAACGUUCGGAAACGGACGCUAAUACCGCAUACGUCCUACGGGAGAAAGCGGGGGAUCUUCGGACCUCGCGCCAUUAGAUGAGCCUAGGUCGGAUUAGCUAGUUGGUGAGGUAAUGGCUCACCAAGGCGACGAUCCGUAACUGGUCUGAGAGGAUGAUCAGUCACACUGGAACUGAGACACGGUCCAGACUCCUACGGGAGGCAGCAGUGGGGAAUUUUGGACAAUGGGCGCAAGCCUGAUCCAGCAAUGCCGCGUGCAGGAUGAAGGCCUUCGGGUUGUAAACUGCUUUGUACGGAACGAAACGGUGAGCUCUAAUACAGUUUGCUAAUGACGGUACCGUAAGAAUAAGCACCGGCUAACUACGUG
This 482-nucleotide ribosomal RNA is filed under the name uncultured bacterium. Its description in RNAcentral is "bacterial SSU rRNA". It matches the Rfam family "Bacterial small subunit ribosomal RNA", at positions 30 to 507 of the family's 1533-position model. The record is from RNAcentral.